AAAUUUUGUUUAAUGGCACUGAAUAAUUACAAUAAUAUAGAUAUUUAUUGUUGUUAUCAGAUAAAAGUUGUUUUCUUUUAUUUAAAUUUAGUACUCAUAAAAAUCAGUUUAGAAUACUAUUAUAAUUUGAAACAAAACUAUUACAACAAUUUUACUUUUCUGGCUUUUACAGAGAAUGAAUUAAAAACAUGUGAAAUGAAUACAGUAUUGCUUUAUUCCUUUGAAUUGUAAUUGUGUACAGGUAGCCCUCGGUUUAUGCUGCAGUUCCGUUCCUACAAAAGCCGGCUCAAAUCGAAUCGGCGUAAAAUGAACCCAUAUUUACAGUGAAGUAUAGGGUUAGGUUCUACA
Molecule: long non-coding RNA, 348 nt
Filed under: Androctonus crassicauda
Lineage: Eukaryota; Metazoa; Arthropoda; Arachnida; Scorpiones; Buthidae
Source: RNAcentral